GGGUGAGCGGCGGACGGGUUAGUAACGCGUGGGAACAUGCCCUUCUCUAAGGAAUAGCCACUGGAAACGGUGAGUAAUACCUUAUACGCCCUUCGGGGGAAAGAUUUAUCGGAGAAGGAUUGGCCCGCGUUAGAUUAGAUAGUUGGUGGGGUAACGGCCUACCAAGUCUACGAUCUAUAGCUGGUUUUAGAGGAUGAUCAGCAACACUGGGACUGAGACACGGCCCAGACUCCUACGGGAGGCAGCAGUGGGGAAUCUUAGACAAUGGGCGAAAGCCUGAUCUAGCGAUGCCGCGUGAGUGAUGAAGGUCUUAGGAUCGUAAAGCUCUUUCGCCAGAGAUGAUAAUGACAGUAUCUGGUAAAGAAACCCCGGCUAACUCCGUGCCAGCAGCUGCGGUAAUACGGAGGGGGUUAGCGUUGUUCGGAAUUACUGGGCGUAAAGCGCGCGUAGGCGGAUCAGAAAGUAUGGGGUGAAAUCCCAGGGCUCAACCCUGGAACUGCCUCAUAAACUCCUGGUCUUGAGUUCGAGAGAGGUGAGUGGAACUCCGAGUGUAGAGGUGAAAUUCGUAGAUAUUCGGAAGAACACCAGUGGCGAAGGCGGCUCACUGGCUCGAUACUGACGCUGAGGUGCGAAAGUGUGGGGAGCAAACAGGAUUAGAUACCCUGGUAGUCCACACCGUAAACGAUGAAUGCCAGUCGUCGGGUAGUAUACUAUUCGGUGACACACCUAACGGAUUAAGCAUUCCGCCUGGGGAGUACGGUCGCAAGAUUAAAACUCAAAGGAAUUGACU
Molecule: ribosomal RNA, 790 nt
Filed under: Leisingera methylohalidivorans
Lineage: Bacteria; Pseudomonadati; Pseudomonadota; Alphaproteobacteria; Rhodobacterales; Roseobacteraceae
Description: bacterial SSU rRNA
Rfam family: Bacterial small subunit ribosomal RNA
Source: RNAcentral